AGCUUUGCGCAGUGGCAGUAUCGUAGCCAAUGAGGUUUAUCCGAGGUGCAAUUAUUGCUAAUUGAAACACAGGGCAGGGCCAGACCUAGAGCGGGUUUCCCCUCCCAGCCCAGGGAUUUUCACCUGCAGGACACUGC
Tupaia belangeri chinensis (Chinese tree shrew) is the source of this 137-nucleotide small nuclear RNA. RefSeq annotates it as U4 spliceosomal RNA. The record is from RefSeq and is a predicted model, not a curated record. Lineage: Eukaryota; Metazoa; Chordata; Mammalia; Scandentia; Tupaiidae. The transcript has a single exon.